UGAUCUGCCGGACUGACUGCUAUCGGAUUGGUACUAAGGCCAUGCGAGUCGGUGUACAAUACAGGCGAACUGCUCAGUAACACAUAGUUGACCUAACCUAUGGAUGGGGAUAACCUCGNGGAAACUGAGAAUAAUACCCAAUGGACCACAGUGCCUGGAAUGGCCUGUGGUUGAAAUGAUUUAUCGCCGUAGGAUAGGACUGCGGCCUAUCAGCUUGUUGGUGAGGUAAUGGCCCACCAAGGCUAUAACAGGUACGGGCUCUGAGAGGAGGGGCCCGGAGAUGGGUACCGAGACACGGACCCAGGCCCUAUGGGGCGCAGCAGGCGAGAAACCUAUAAAACUUUGCAAAUGUGCGAAAGCACGACAAGGUUAAUCCGAGGUGUCUCCUGCUAAAGGAGUCUUUUGUCAGUUGUAGAAUCACUGGUGCCUAAGGGGUGGGCAAGUUCUGGUGUCAGCCGACGCGGUAAAUGCCACACCUCGAGUGGUCCGGAAGCUACUCGGGCCUAACGCAU
RNAcentral lists this ribosomal RNA (512 nucleotides) under uncultured archaeon. RNAcentral's name for it is "bacterial SSU rRNA". It matches the Rfam family "Archaeal small subunit ribosomal RNA", at positions 9 to 518 of the family's 1478-position model. The record is from RNAcentral.